GACCGGAGUGAACGAACCGCUGGUGUUCGGGUUGUCAUGCCAAUGGCACUGCCCGGUAGCUAAGUUCGGAAUCGAUAACCGCUGAAAGCAUCUAAGCGGGAAGCGAGCCCCGAGAUGAGUCAUCCCUAGGUUCUUGAAACCUCUGAAGGGCCGUUUGAGACUAAGACGUAGAUAGGCAGGGUGUGGACGCGUUGUGAGACGUGAAGCUAACCUGUACUAAUGCCCCGUGCGGCUUAACCAUACAACACCCAAGAAGUGU
Molecule: ribosomal RNA, 259 nt
Filed under: Zobellella taiwanensis
Lineage: Bacteria; Pseudomonadati; Pseudomonadota; Gammaproteobacteria; Aeromonadales; Aeromonadaceae
Description: partial 23S ribosomal RNA
Rfam family: Bacterial large subunit ribosomal RNA
Source: RNAcentral